Molecule: non-coding RNA, 74 nt
Organism: Paramuricea clavata
Lineage: Eukaryota; Metazoa; Cnidaria; Anthozoa; Malacalcyonacea; Plexauridae
Source: the annotation of a GenBank genome assembly
GGUCCAGUAGCUCAGUUGGUUAGAGCGCUGCUCCGGAAUCGGAGGGCCGCAGGUUCGAUUCCUGUCAGGGACCU